GAGUUUGAUCGUGGCUCAGAUUGAACGCUGGCGGCAUGCCUUACACAUGCAAGUCGAACGGCAGCAUGAUCUAGCUUGCUAGAUUGAUGGCGUGUGGCGAACGGGUGAGUAAUACAUCGGAACGUGCCCUGUAGUGGGGGAUAACUAGUCGAAAGAUUAGCUAAUACCGCAUACGACCUGAGGGUGAAAGUGGGGGACCGCAAGGCCUCAUGCUAUAGGAGCGGCCGAUGUCUGAUUAGCUAGUUGGUGGGGUAAAGGCCCACCAAGGCGACGAUCAGUAGCUGGUCUGAGAGGACGAUCAGCCACACUGGGACUGAGACACGGCCCAGACUCCUACGGGAGGCAGCGAGUGGGGAAUUUUGGACAAUGGGCGAAAGCCUGAUCCGAGCAAUGCCGCGUGUGUGAAGAAGGCCUGGU
Molecule: ribosomal RNA, 417 nt
Filed under: uncultured microorganism
Description: bacterial SSU rRNA
Rfam family: Bacterial small subunit ribosomal RNA
Source: RNAcentral